Non-coding RNA from Podarcis muralis (Common wall lizard), 1219 nucleotides. The record is from RefSeq and is a predicted model, not a curated record. NCBI's taxonomy places the organism in Eukaryota, Metazoa, Chordata, Lepidosauria, Squamata, Lacertidae.
AUUGUUAUAACAAAGCAAAACAAGCUGCUCCUUUUGGACUAUUUUGUUGCUGGGUAGUUUGGCCCAUUUGUGAUAUUGCUCCCAAAAAGAACUUUGGGUUUCUUGAGGAAGUGCUUCCCUCUAAAGGGCAAGCAGGGGUACCUGGACAGGCGGCGGGCUGCCUCAAGUUUGUUAUCUCAUUGGAAACAUUUUUGUCUGGCCUAGCAGGUGAUCCUAGGUCUUGGCCCACUUGGCCCUAUAAUUUGAUGGCCUCUGGCAGCGUUUCUGGCCUGAAUAGCGUCCCCAUGUGGUGCACAAAGCAUUGGUUUCACCUGUUCCUCACAUUGUUUAGGUUUUUUCUUUUGCAGACUAUGACAGGGCCUUUGCAGAUACCUCCAGAGCUUGCCUCUCCUGCAGAGGAUGACUUGCUGAUGCCCCAAGUGCCUUCUUCCAGAAGGAAGCGUCUUCAGAGGCAGAAAAAAGCGGAGCAGGGAUGAUGCUUACACCUCCUUGCAGUUGGAGAGCUUCAGAUCCUGGGCUCUGGAUGCCCAGCUAUAGCCGGAUUUUUCCGGAGCUCCUGUGGCACUUGGCAACAAUUAAUAAUUAUGAGGUCCGGGCACUAUCCGUAUCUGGAUAGUGGGCCACAGUAUUGUGCAUUGGGCCGCUGACAGAGCUCGUCAGUCGGGAUUGGGAGAUGGCCUGGGCCUUCCACAGCACGUGCAGGUGUCCUGGAUCUCCAGAAGGGGGAUGCGGUGGAGUGAAUUCUUGCCACUCAUGAAAAGGCGCGUCCUCCUGCUUGGCCCACCUUCAGCGAUUGUGGUGCAGCUUGGCGAAAAUGAUAUGGUUUCUUUUCCUUGCUAUACGCUGCGUACUGUUAUUUUACAGGACCUAAGGGAGCUGGCGGCUAUGGUGCCUAAUGCAAAAUUGAUUUGGUCAUAGUUGCUUCAGCGCCGCAUUUGGCGGGGCAGUCCUUGCCCAGCAUCCACUGAGAAAGUUAGGAAGCGGAUUAAUUCCGCGGUGGGCAAGUUGGUGGUGAGCUUGGGCGGAUUGGUGAUUCCUCACCCUCGUAUUUCCUUUAAGGAGGAGGUCUUAUACAGGGCUUAUGGGGUUCAUCUUUCCACGUUUGGGAAUGAUGUAUGGUUGGAUGCAGUGGUGUCCAAGUUGAGGGUGUGGUUUGCUUUGUGAGUGGUUGGCGGCGAGCAUAAGGGCUCGGGUGGCGGUUAGGCAUUGGUUAAAUUGG